GACGAACGCUGGCGGCGUGCCUAACACAUGCAAGUCGAGCGAGGAACUUCGGUUCCUAGCGGCGGACGGGUGAGUAACACGUGGGUAACCUGCCUCAAAGAGGGGGAUAGCCUCCCGAAAGGGAGAUUAAUACCGCAUAAUAUUAAAUUACCGCAUGGUAGUUUAAUUAAAGGAGUAAUCCGCUUUGAGAUGGACCCGCGGCGCAUUAGCUAGUUGGUGAAGUAACGGCUCACCAAGGCCACGAUGCGUAGCCGACCUGAGAGGGUGAUCGGCCACAUUGGAACUGAGAUACGGUCCAGACUCCUACGGGAGGCGGCAGUGGGGAAUAUUGCACAAUGGGCGAAAGCCUGAUGCAGCAACGCCGCGUGAGUGAUGAAGGCCUUCGGGUUGUAAAGCUCUGUCUUUGGGGACGAUUAUGACGGUACCCAAGGGGGAAGCCACGGCUAACUACGUGCCAGCCGCCGCCGUAA
Molecule: ribosomal RNA, 470 nt
Filed under: uncultured bacterium
Lineage: Bacteria
Description: partial 16S ribosomal RNA
Rfam family: Bacterial small subunit ribosomal RNA
Source: RNAcentral